RNAcentral lists this ribosomal RNA (467 nucleotides) under uncultured bacterium. RNAcentral describes it as "partial 16S ribosomal RNA". It matches the Rfam family "Bacterial small subunit ribosomal RNA", at positions 28 to 507 of the family's 1533-position model. The record is from RNAcentral.
GAUGAACGCUGACAGAAUGCUUAACACAUGCAAGUCAACUUGAAUUUGGGUUUUUAACUUAGGUUUGGGUGGCGGACGGGUGAGUAACGCGUAAAGAACUUGCCUCACAGCUAGGGACAACAUUUGGAAACGAAUGCUAAUACCUAAUAUUAUGAUAAUAGGGCAUCCUAUAAUUAUGAAAGCUAUAAGCGCUGUGAGAGAGCUUUGCGUCCCAUUAGCUAGUUGGAGAGGUAACGGCUCACCAAGGCGAUGAUGGGUAGCCGGCCUGAGAGGGUGAUCGGCCACAAGGGGACUGAGACACGGCCCUUACUCCUACGGGAGGCAGCAGUGGGGAAUAUUGGACAAUGGACCAAGAGUCUGAUCCGGCAAUUCUGUGUGCACGAUGAAGUUUUUCGGAAUGUAAAGUGCUUUCAGUUGGGAAGAAAGAAAUGACGGUACCAACAGAAGAAGUGACGGCUAAAUACGUG